Pongo abelii (Sumatran orangutan) is the source of this 105-nucleotide non-coding RNA. Lineage: Eukaryota; Metazoa; Chordata; Mammalia; Primates; Hominidae. The record is from Rfam.
GCGCUCGCUUCGGCAGCACAUAUACUAAAACUUGGAACGAUACAGAGAUUAGCAUGGCCCCUGCGCAAGGAUGACACGCAAAUUCGUGAAUUGUUCCAUAUUUUU